AUUGAACGCUGGCGGCAGGCCUAACACAUGCAAGUCGAACGGUAACAGGGAUCAGCUUGCUGAUUCGCUGACGAGUGGCGGCCGGGUGAGUAAUGUCUGAGAAACUGCCUGAUGGAGGGGGAUAACUACUGGAAACGGUAGCUAAUACCGCAUAACGUCGCAAGACCAAAGAGGGGGACCUUCGGGCCUCUUGCCAUCGGAUGUGCCCCGAUGGGAUUAGCUAGUAGGUGGGGUAACGGCUCACCUAGGCGACGAUCCCUAGCUGGUCUGAGAGGAUGACCAGCCACACUGGAACUGAGACACGGUCCAGACUCCUACGGGAGGCAGCAGUGGGGAAUAUUGCACAAUGGGCGCAAGCCUGAUGCAGCCAUGCCGCGUGUAUGAAGAAGGCCUUCGGGUUGUAAAGUACUUUCAGCGGGGAGGAAGGGAGUAAAGUUAAUACCUUUGCUAAUUGACGUUACCCGCAGAAGAAGCACCGGCUAACUCCGUG
This 490-nucleotide ribosomal RNA is filed under the name uncultured bacterium. RNAcentral's name for it is "partial 16S ribosomal RNA". It matches the Rfam family "Bacterial small subunit ribosomal RNA", at positions 30 to 507 of the family's 1533-position model. The record is from RNAcentral.